Long non-coding RNA from Fundulus heteroclitus (mummichog), 985 nucleotides. RefSeq lists it as uncharacterized. NCBI's taxonomy places the organism in Eukaryota, Metazoa, Chordata, Actinopteri, Cyprinodontiformes, Fundulidae. The record is from RefSeq and is a predicted model, not a curated record. The transcript has 3 exons.
CUCCAUGAGCUGUCACACACACACACACAUACACACACACACACACACACACACACCGAGACGCUUACACACCAGGAGCCCCUGCGUGUUGGAGCAAACCUCCGCUCCGUCUAGUCUCUCCUCGGCCGCGGAGCCGCAGCUGGUUUGAUUUUUGCUUGGCUGCGCGGAGCCUCUCGUCGUGACAAGAGUUUUCGUCUGAAAGAGGAGUGAGCCGCGCGGAAAGAAGAGGAUGAGCAGGAAUAGCCACUGACUGGAUGGAUGGAGGAAGAGGAACUCCUCAUGACGGUGGUGCCCUGCUAUCAGACGAACAGGCUCGUUCUAAGACGUGGAUGAAGCAAAGGGAGGUGAAAGAGAGUAAAAGAGCAAGGAAUCUCAAGGCGCCCCGUCAAUUAUAGAAGUUACAGUCUGUGGCCGAUCCCUUUUUAUUUUGCGGCUGUGUUGGAGACCGCAAAAUGUUCUUCAGCCUUGCAAGGAGCAUGGCAUCUCUUUCUACAUCUCAUUGCCCUGUUGAUGAGUAUGGGCUAGAGCAACGUAAAGAUUUCCUGGCCUCGAAUGAGGCCCCUGGGGCUGUUCUGUGUAGGCAUUUGUGAUAACCCUACUGGAUCUUCUGCUGUCACCAUCCUCCAUGGUUGUCAUUAGUGGCUAAUGAGCUGCUGCUAGAGAGGAAAAGUAGAAUGUGCCUGUGGAGAGGGGCCGGACAUUACAGCUGUUAUUAAGAGGCCCAGACAUCUUAGACAAGGAAGUCUUUGCCCUUUCAAAAGGCUUUGAAACCAUGAAAGUAUUUUAACUCUGAAAGUUGUUUUUAUAUGUUUCUGUUUUCUGGUCUUAAUUAUUAAUACUUUGUUUUUGUGUUAGCAUUAUAUGCUUUUUGACAAUGAAACAAUUAAGAUCAAAGACAGUCUUUCAGCGAGAUGAUUUGUUAAUUGAACAUGUACUGUUUUACUUUUAAAAGUGAAAAUCAUUAACAAGAGGGUCUAUUAUGAAA